GCGAACGCUGGCGGCAGGCCUAACACAUGCAAGUCGAACGAACCUUUCGGGGUUAGUGGCGGACGGGUGAGUAACACGUGGGAACGUGCCUUUAGGUUCGGAAUAACUCAGGGAAACUUGUGCUAAUACCGAAUGUGCCCUUCGGGGGAAAGAUUUAUCGCCUUUAGAGCGGCCCGCGUCUGAUUAGCUAGUUGGUUGAGGUAAUGGCUCACCAAGGCGACGAUCAGUAGCUGGUCUGAGAGGAUGAUCAGCCACAUUGGGACUGAGACACGGCCCAAACUCCUACGGGAGGCAGCAGUGGGGAAUCUUGCGCAAUGGGCGAAAGCCUGACGCAGCCAUGCCGCGUGAAUGAUGAAGGUCUUAGGAUUGUAAAAUUCUUUCAACGGGGACGAUAAUGACGGUACCCGGAGAAGAAGCCCCGGCUAACUUCGUG
RNAcentral lists this ribosomal RNA (433 nucleotides) under uncultured bacterium. Its description in RNAcentral is "partial 16S ribosomal RNA". It matches the Rfam family "Bacterial small subunit ribosomal RNA", at positions 29 to 507 of the family's 1533-position model. The record is from RNAcentral.